ACGCUAGCUACAGGCUUAACACAUGCAAGUCGAGGGGAAACGGCAUUUAGUGCUUGCACCGAAUGGACGUCGACCGGCGCACGGGUGAGUAACGCGUAUCCAACCUACCCAUUACUGUGGGAUAACCUGCCGAAAGGCAGACUAAUACCGCAUAGUCUUCGAUGACGGCAUCAGAUUUGAAGUAAAGAUUUAUCGGUAAUGGAUGGGGAUGCGUCUGAUUAGCUUGUUGGCGGGGUAACGGCCCACCAAGGCGACGAUCAGUAGGGGUUCUGAGAGGAAGGUCCCCCACAUUGGAACUGAGACACGGUCCAAACUCCUACGGGAGGCAGCAGUGAGGAAUAUUGGUCAAUGGACGAGAGUCUGAACCAGCCAAGUAGCGUGCAGGAUGACGGCCCUAUGGGUUGUAAACUGCUUUUGUAUGGGGAUAAAGUCAAUCACGUGUGAUUGUUUGCAGGUACCAUACGAAUAAGGACCGGCUAAUUCCGUGCCAGCAGCCGCGGUAAUACGGAAGGUCCGGGCGUUAUCCGGAUUUAUUGGGUUUAAAGGGAGCGUAGGCCGGAGAUUAAGUGUGUUGUGAAAUGUAGACGCUCAACGUCUGACUUGCAGCGCAUACUGGUUUCCUUGAGUACGCACAACGUUGGCGGAAUUCGUCGUGUAGCGGUGAAAUGCUUAGAUAUGACGAAGAACUCCGAUUGCGAAGGCAGCUGACGGGAGCGCAACUGACGCUGAAGCUCGAAGGUGCGGGUAUCGAACAGGAUUAGAUACCCUGGUAGUCCGCACAGUAAACGAUGGAUGCCCGCUGUUGGUACCUGGUAUCAGCGGCUAAGCGAAAGCAUUAAGCAUCCCACCUGGGGAGUACGCCGGCAACGGUGAAACUCAAAGGAAUUGACGGGGGCCCGCACAAGCGGAG
RNAcentral lists this ribosomal RNA (910 nucleotides) under uncultured bacterium. RNAcentral's name for it is "bacterial SSU rRNA". It matches the Rfam family "Bacterial small subunit ribosomal RNA", at positions 33 to 934 of the family's 1533-position model. The record is from RNAcentral.